Molecule: ribosomal RNA, 275 nt
Filed under: uncultured bacterium
Lineage: Bacteria
Description: partial 16S ribosomal RNA
Rfam family: Bacterial small subunit ribosomal RNA
Source: RNAcentral
GCGUGAGUGAAGAAGGCCUUAGGGUUGUAAAGCUCUUUCGCCCGCGAAGAUGAUGACGGUAGCGGGAGAAGAAGCCCCGGCUAACUCCGUGCCAGCAGCCGCGGUAAUACGGAGGGGGCAAGCGUUGUUCGGAAUUACUGGGCGUAAAGGGCGCGUAGGCGGGGUGUCAUGUCAGGGGUGAAAGUCCUGGGCUCAACCUGGGGACUGCCCUUGAAACGGGCGCUCUUGAGACCGGGAGAGGAUGGCGGAAUUCCCAGUGUAGAGGUGAAAUUCGU